UACGUAGGGUGCAAGCGUUGUCCGGGAUUAUUGGGCGUAAAGAGCUCGUAGGCGGUUUGUUGCGUCGGCUGUGAAAUCCCGAGGCUCAACCUCGGGUCUGCAGUCGAUACGAGCAAACUAGAGUGUUGCAGGGGAGACUGGAAUUCCUGGUGUAGCGGUGAAAUGCGCAGAUAUCAGGAGGAACACCGGUGGCGAAGGCGGGUCUCUGGGCAACAACUGACGCUGAGGAGCGAAAGCGUGGGGAGCGAACAGG
This 253-nucleotide ribosomal RNA is filed under the name uncultured bacterium. Its description in RNAcentral is "partial 16S ribosomal RNA". It matches the Rfam family "Bacterial small subunit ribosomal RNA", at positions 524 to 776 of the family's 1533-position model. The record is from RNAcentral.